CUGAGCCCCCUCUCUCCUGCAGUUCCACCAGAGAUGCUGCAAGGGAAUCCCCAGCAGGGUGCGAGGUAAAGUGUGGAAAAUACUUCUGGAUGUGGAAGCAAAGAAGGCCCAGAACCCGGGGAUAUUUGAGAUGCUGAAAGAGCAGGCCCGGCUGCAUUGCGAUCAAUUCCACCUGAUUGACAUUGCGGUGCAGUGGACGUUCCCAAAUCACCUGCUUUUCAGAGAGUGCUAUGGAAUGAAACAACGGGCCUUAUUUGAAGUGCUGGCAGCCUAUGCGAUGUACAAUCCCGUGAGUAUUCUCAAAUGCCUUU
This is a long non-coding RNA of Ochotona princeps (American pika), 311 nucleotides long. RefSeq lists it as uncharacterized. NCBI's taxonomy places the organism in Eukaryota, Metazoa, Chordata, Mammalia, Lagomorpha, Ochotonidae. The transcript is spliced from 3 exons. The record is from RefSeq and is a predicted model, not a curated record.